UGAGUAACCUGCCCUUAACUCUGGGAUAAGCCUGGGAAACUGGGUCUAAUACCGGAUAUGACUCCUCAUCGCAUGGUGGGGGGUGGAAAGCUUGAUUGUGGUUUUGGAUGGACUCGCGGCCUAUCAGCUUGUUGGUGAGGUAAUGGCUCACCAAGGCGACGACGGGUAGCCGGCCUGAGAGGGUGACCGGCCACACUGGGACUGAGACACGGCCCAGACUCCUACGGGAGCAG
This 233-nucleotide ribosomal RNA is filed under the name uncultured bacterium. RNAcentral describes it as "partial 16S ribosomal RNA". It matches the Rfam family "Bacterial small subunit ribosomal RNA", at positions 118 to 347 of the family's 1533-position model. The record is from RNAcentral.